UGGGGAAUAUUGGACAAUGGGGGAAACCCUGAUCCAGCAAUGCCGCGUGGGUGAUGAAGGCCUUCGGGUUGUAAAGCCCUUUUGGCGGGGACGAUGAUGACGGUACCCGCAGAAGAAGCCCCGGCUAACUUCGUGCCAGCAGCCGCGGUAAUACGAAGGGGGCUAGCGUUGUUCGGAAUUACUGGGCGUAAAGGGCGCGUAGGCGGCUUCGAUAGUCGGGUGUGAAAUGCCUGGGCUCAACCCAGGAACUGCACUCGAAACUCCGAGGCUAGAGUGUGGGAGAGGAUAGUGGAAUUCCCAGUGUAGAGGUGAAAUUCGUAGAUAUUGGGAAGAACACCGGUGGCGAAGGCGGCUAUCUGGACCACAACUGACGCUGAGGCGCGAAAGCGUGGGGAGCAAACAGGAUUAGAUACCCCCGUAGUCC
Molecule: ribosomal RNA, 424 nt
Filed under: uncultured bacterium
Lineage: Bacteria
Description: bacterial SSU rRNA
Rfam family: Bacterial small subunit ribosomal RNA
Source: RNAcentral